UACGUAGGCAGCGAGCGUUGUUCGGAAUUACUGGGCGUAAAGCGUGCGCAGGCGGCUUUGCAAGACAGAUGCGAAAUCCCCGGGCUCAACCUGGGAACUGCAUUUGUGACUGCAUGGCUGGAGUGCGGCAGAGGGGGAUGGAAUUCCGCGUGUAGCAGUGAAAUGCGUAGAUAUGCGGAGGAACACCAGCGGCGAAGGCGGCAUCCUGGACUGGUCCUGACACUCAGGAGCGAAAGCGUGGGGAGCGAUCCGG
This 253-nucleotide ribosomal RNA is filed under the name uncultured bacterium. Its description in RNAcentral is "partial 16S ribosomal RNA". It matches the Rfam family "Bacterial small subunit ribosomal RNA", at positions 524 to 776 of the family's 1533-position model. The record is from RNAcentral.